CACGUAGGGCGCAAGCGUUGUCCGGAAUUAUUGGGCGUAAAGAGCUCGUAGGCGGUCUGUUGCGUCCGCUGUGAAAACUCGGGGCUUAACCCCGAGCCUGCAGUGGAUACGGGCAGACUAGAGGUAGGUAGGGGAGAAUGGAAUUCCCGGUGUAGCGGUGAAAUGCGCAGAUAUCUGGAGGAAUACCGGUGGCGAAGGCGGCAAGUCCUGGACCGACAUUGACGCUGAGGAGCGAAAAGCUAGGGGAGCAAACGGGG
This 257-nucleotide ribosomal RNA is filed under the name uncultured bacterium. Its description in RNAcentral is "partial 16S ribosomal RNA". It matches the Rfam family "Bacterial small subunit ribosomal RNA", at positions 524 to 777 of the family's 1533-position model. The record is from RNAcentral.